RNAcentral lists this ribosomal RNA (486 nucleotides) under uncultured bacterium. RNAcentral describes it as "partial 16S ribosomal RNA". It matches the Rfam family "Bacterial small subunit ribosomal RNA", at positions 28 to 523 of the family's 1533-position model. The record is from RNAcentral.
GAUGAACGCUGGCGGCGUGCUUAACACAUGCAAGUCGAACGGAAAGGCCCCAGCUUGCUGGGGUACUCGAGUGGCGAACGGGUGAGUAACACGUGGGUGAUCUGCCCUGCACUUUGGGAUAAGCUUGGGAAACUGGGUCUAAUACCGAAUAUGACCACUUCUUGGAUGUUGUGGUGGAGAGCUUUUGCGGUGUGGGAUGAGCCUGCGGCCUACCAGCUUGUUGGUGGGGUAAUGGCCUACCAAGGCGGCGACGGGUAUCCGGCCUGAGAGGGUGUACGGACACAGUGGGACUGAGAUACGGCCCAGACUCCUACGGGAGGCAGCAGUGGGGAAUAUUGCACAAUGGGCGCAAGCCUGAUGCAGCGACGCCGCGUGGGGGAUGAAGGCCUUCGGGUUGUAAACUCCUUUCGCUAUCGACGAAGCCACUUGUGGUGACGGUAGGUAGAUAAGAAGCACCGGCUAACUACGUGCCAGCCGCCGCCGUAA